This 465-nucleotide ribosomal RNA is filed under the name uncultured bacterium. RNAcentral's name for it is "partial 16S ribosomal RNA". It matches the Rfam family "Bacterial small subunit ribosomal RNA", at positions 28 to 507 of the family's 1533-position model. The record is from RNAcentral.
GACGAACGCUGGCGGCGUGCUUAACACAUGCAAGUCGAACGGAAAGGCCCCGUUGGGGGUACUCGAGUGGCGCACGGGGGAGUAACACGGGAGGAACCUGCCCUUGGCGUGGGGAUAACUUCAGGAAACUGGGGCUAAUACCGGAUAGGAAUCCUUGCUGCAAGGUGGGGGUUGGAAAGCUUCCGCGGUUUUGGAUGGACUCGCGGCUUAUCAGCUUGUUGGUGGGGUAGUGGCUUACCAAGGCUUUGACGGGUAGCCGGCCUGAGAGGGCGACCGGCCACCUUCGGCCUGAGAUCCGGCACACACUCCUACGGGCGGCAGCAGUGGGGAAUAUUGAACAAUGGGCGGAAGCCUGAUGCAGCAACGCCGCGUGCGGGAUGACUUCCUUCGGGUUGUAAACCGCUUUCAGCAGGGGCGAAGCUUGUGGUGACGGUACCUGCAGAAGAAGCACCGGCUAACUACGUG